UACAGAGGGGGCAAGCGUUGUUCGGAAUUACUGGGCGUAAAGGGCGCGUAGGCGGCCUGUUAAGUCGAACGUGAAAUCCCCGGGCUCAACCCGGGAACUGCGUCCGAUACUGGCAGGCUUGAAUCCGGGAGAGGGAUGCAGAAUUCCAGGUGUAGCGGUGAAAUGCGUAGAUAUCCUGAGGAACACCGGUGGCGAAAGCGGCGUGCUGGACACCUUCUGACGCUGAGGCGCGAAAGCCAGGGGAGCGAACGGG
RNAcentral lists this ribosomal RNA (253 nucleotides) under uncultured bacterium. RNAcentral's name for it is "partial 16S ribosomal RNA". It matches the Rfam family "Bacterial small subunit ribosomal RNA", at positions 524 to 776 of the family's 1533-position model. The record is from RNAcentral.